UUUACCAAUAAACGGUUGAAAGUUAUGCAAUUGUUAGUCUGUCUGAUGCUGGGUGCACUAUUUUCAAUGUGCUUGCACAAGUGAUCCCAUCGAAAAAACUAUAACUAGAAAUUACGCAAACAUGUAGUAAAAGUUGUGUCAAGUGCCGUGGAAUAUAAUAACACGAAAAGCGUGGUAAAAAUUGCAGAUGAAGGGCAGCCAAGUGAAGGAAACAAACGUUGGCAAAUAACAUCCAAAACGAAUGAAAAUUUAAUUAGUCUUGGUAAAGGCAGAUAAGUCUUGUUUUAUGCUUAAACUCAAUUUAUAAAUGGGCUUAAACAAAAGCUGCUGCGCUGAAAAUUAUAUGC
Molecule: long non-coding RNA, 347 nt
Organism: Drosophila montana
Lineage: Eukaryota; Metazoa; Arthropoda; Insecta; Diptera; Drosophilidae
Exons: 2
Source: RefSeq, a predicted model, not a curated record